AAGUCCCGCAACGAGCGCAACCCACGUCCUUAGUUGCCAUCAUUCAGUUGGGCACUCUAGGGAGACUGCCGGUGAUAAGCCGCGAGGAAGGUGUGGAUGACGUCAAGUCCUCAUGGCCCUUACGGGAUGGGCUACACACGUGCUACAAUGGCGGUGACAGAGGGACGCGAAACCGCGAGGUUGAGCAAAUCCCCAAAAGCCGUCUCAGUUCGGAUUGCACUCUGCAACUCGGGUGCAUGAAGGCGGAAUCGCUAGUAAUCGUGGAUCAGCACGCCACGGUGAAUACGUUCCCGGGCCUUGUACACACCGCCCGUCA
Molecule: ribosomal RNA, 316 nt
Filed under: Pseudo-nitzschia australis
Lineage: Eukaryota; Bacillariophyta; Bacillariophyceae; Bacillariales; Bacillariaceae
Description: partial Bacterial small subunit ribosomal RNA
Rfam family: Bacterial small subunit ribosomal RNA
Source: RNAcentral